This 31-nucleotide non-coding RNA is filed under the name Homo sapiens (human). Lineage: Eukaryota; Metazoa; Chordata; Mammalia; Primates; Hominidae. The record is from RNAcentral.
UCUUGGCCAUGCCAGGAGAGACUCACUCACC